Molecule: long non-coding RNA, 2200 nt
Filed under: Xyrichtys novacula (pearly razorfish)
Lineage: Eukaryota; Metazoa; Chordata; Actinopteri; Labriformes; Labridae
Source: RNAcentral
GCGUGAAAGAGCUUUUAUUCAUGGAAACUAGCAGAGGAUUGAUAAAGCAGAGUAAUAAUACUGGACAGUUAGCAUAGAUACAGAGAGAAAAAACAACAUGAAUCAAAUCUAGAAGAACACAAUGGCUUCUGGUCAAAAGCUUGCAUAGACGUCCCUACACUGCAGCGUAGAGAGAGAUGUGUGUGUGUGUGUGUGUGGACAUUAAAGGAGCUCCAACAACACAAUAUAAAUUUAAAGUGACAGCCUCUUCAGUCUGAAGUCCAUCAUCAUCCUUCAGACCCUCAAACUGAGCCUGUUAGAUAAAUUAAAGGAGUUAUAUACAACGAGAACUGAGACAGGAGCAUGAUGGGAAGAAGGUGGAGUAGCUACACAGGUGAGGGAGAUCAGGUAUGAAGCCAUGCAUUGGGUCAGAUCGACGCUGAUCCAGGACCAGCUGAGCCCACAUCUGUUGAUUAGAUCCAGAUGACAGGGUCUGAGCCGGGUCGGGUGGUUUCGGAUGCGAGGCUUAAAAACUCGGAGCCGGCAGGUUGAAAGAGUGCUUUGCUAAUUUUCAGUGAUAGCCCUUUAAUUUUAAAGUGAAGCUGCGUUUCAUCAAGAGUUCAACCUCUCAGUCCUCCCCUCAGGUGUCCUGCUCUGAGACACAGAGGUGAAUAUUUUGGCUUCAUCAGCAAAGACAGGGGCAUGUCGUCCAUGUUGAUAUUCAGUCAAAGGUGGGAGCUACCUUUGUGCAAACUCUUCGUUACUGUACGACUUUGAAUUUAAACACAAAUCUCUGGACUUCAUCUUCUGGACAAUCUUUUGGUUUCAUAGGUCGACACGAGGGGAAAUAAAGUUUUGUUGUCUGCACUAAAACUCCUCUGCAGGUCGUUUCUAAGAGCUUCUUCUGCACCAAAUUUGACUCUCUGUGUAAAUGCAUGAAAAUCUGGUUGCAGGGAAAAGUGACGCAGCAGCAUCCGUGUAAUUCCUCCUCCUCUGACUGCAGAUCAAAGAUAUAUUUGUGAAGGAGGAGGCUUUCACAGGUGGAGGAGCUGAGGCGAAGUGAACGAGGUGCAGAGAACUCCUAAUGAAACGCAGCACACCUGUUUUCGAGUGUGACAAACACACCUGAGCGGCUGAGCGGGUGACAUCCAGGCGGAGCUUCCUCUUUCCUCCUCCCGCUCUUCCUCGCUCCUUUCCUGCCUCUUUGAAGGUAGUACAGAAAUAUUUCGAGCCCUUGUUUGAAGAAGUACUGAACCGCUUUCUCUGCGCGGUUCAUCGAGUUUGUGCUCUCCCAGGCAGGAGAGGAGCCCGUGAAAAAGACUUGGUCUAGAUCGAUGAGGACGAGCGAACUUCAGUCUCUGCAGACCCAUUUCAUGAGUAGUGGUCUGAGUGUUUGUAAGUAGUUUUCCCUCAAAGGGCCACUGUUCCAGUUUGACAGAAAUCAGUCUUCUUCUUUGUUUAACACUGAAGUAAUCCGACUCCACAAAGCGCGACGUCAAAUCAAAGGCACAUUCAUGAGAUUAACUUUUUGCUACGUGUGCCCUCUGCUCCCUUUUUUCCAAUCAUCCUUUAGUUUAACCUGAGUUUUCUUCUUCUCCCUUAUAUCCUUUAUUUCUCACCGAGGGACGAAAACACAGAGAGAGUGAACUUGGAGAGAUUCAGACUUUGUUUCCAAACAUGUGAUUUCAGAUUUAUGACGACAUGAGCUCCAAAGAUGCCGUUUCAAAGGGAUGGAGGGGUUAACAGCACACCUUUGACACUUAACUGACAAUCACUCCACCGAGUGGAGGAUUCAGAAGAAGGUUUUGGACGAAUGUCACGGUCAUUUAAACUGCAAAAAUGAAAUGAAACAAACAUAUCUGUUGAUGCUCUUCAAACCGAGCUGCAGAGCACAGAGACGGUCUGAACUCCUCUGCUGUUUGCACUGAUUGAAACCUCAUUUAUCAAGCUUGCGUACGGCAGAAAACUUACGUACACCUUGCAAACGUAAGUUGCAACGUGAGGAUAAUCAUUUAUCAAUCUGCACGUGAGCGUACGCUACGACCAAAUCUCACGACAGGUCUGACAUCGUGUCCGCAGGUUUGAGUCAGUGUGGAUCUGCGGUGCAGCAAAUGUCUCAAAAUAAUUGAUAAACCUCAAACCUGUCAUUAAGCAGAAUCAGCCAGAUUUCAUUAAAGAUUAAGACGUAAAUAAAAAAAGAGGCAUGUAUAAGCAAAUCAUU